Cinara cedri is the source of this 214-nucleotide non-coding RNA. The record is from the annotation of a GenBank genome assembly. NCBI's taxonomy places the organism in Eukaryota, Metazoa, Arthropoda, Insecta, Hemiptera, Aphididae.
UGUUUACUUCCUUACUACUUACCUUAGCCACAAGUGUAUUAAUAAAGCCAUAUAAUUAACCACUGACACUUUACAAGUUACCUGAGCUCUAACGUUUAAUUAGAAAAUAUAUUGAUUUCUUGGCUAAAAAAAAUAAGCCUACUCAAUAUGGGAAAUACAUCCGGCUUUUUUCAUGUAUGUAUUUAUAUCUUUAAACCUAGAAGAGAAAGGCUUG